CUCUCUCUCUCUCUCUCUCUCUUUCUCUCUCUGCUCUUCCUGCAUUAUUAAUAUGUUUAAGUUGUUCUCUCCACCCAUUGCCUCAUUUCCAAAUUACCUCCUUUCUUCUCCUUUCACAUAUUCUGUCAGUUCUUGUUCCAAGCUCAUAUCAAUUUAUAAGCAGUAAUUUCUACAACCUAAUUUUUGUGUUUUGUCUACUUUUCAACCCAUAUUAAACUCUUUAUUUUGUUGGUUUUGUAACACAUAAUCCUAUUCUAUGAAAAGAUGCAUGGAAUGGAAGCCAAAGAAAGAGAUGGAUUGGGAUCAGUUUGAACGGGAUAUUGGUCCGGUUCAAUAAGAAAACAGUGCUCUCAAAGUGCUUGAGCUCGGCUUUUUGAUUGAGCCGUGCCAAUAUCACGUGCCACUGUUCCUCUUAUCAUAUAUCCCACCCUUUGCUCUAUUCCAAUUCAAAGGUAUACACUUUCUUUUUUUUUUUUUUUUUUUUUUUCAUUAUUCAUCUUGACAUAAAUUAGGGUUUUUGAAUUUUGUCUAGUGAAAGUUUCUCUAAGUUCUUAGCUUGUUAUAAUUCAAUAUCUACUUUCUCUAGACAUUCCCCAAUGCAAGGGAAAUGUUGAGAUAGUUGUGAGAUGCGAGUGGUAGGUCGAGUUGUAUUACAUUGAUUGAUCGACUACUCACAUUCUACAAGAUUUGCUCCACAUUUGAGGAAGGGAGUUGUUAAUAGCACUCUAAAAUGUAAUACACUAUUUUGUAUGUUCUUGCAAAAUUACAGUACAUAAUGAUGUUUUUAGAGUGUCAACAACAAUUCUCUUACUGAUUUACUAGCCUAAACUAACUCUCAGUAUUUGGAAUGCUGGGAUUAGAACAAAUGCUUGACCAUUUUAUUGUAUGUCGGCAAAUUUUGUUGAGUUUCUCACAAGCCUUUAACCAAAAGAAGUCAAUUGUAUUUUGGAUGAGUUGCCAUUUUCUCCAUAAGUUUAUGUGGAUGAGAAAGCUACUUCGAAACCGACGUCUUGGAUUGGCUUUGUAUGUUCAUAGUUUGGUUAAUUGAAAUCUUGUGUGCCACUUUUAGAUGCUACAUUUUGCCAGUUUGUUUACAUCAAACCAUUUUUGUUAUAAAGACAAAGAUUAUUCUACAGUAAAAUAAACCAAGGAUGAUUCGACAUUGUUAUGCAUAUGGCAAGAAAAUGCAUAUUGCCAAAGGUUAUUCUUGGUGUGGCAGUAAAUUAAAGGCAUAGCUGUUUUGUCCAGUUGUAGCAAAGUUUUCUGUGUGUUUUAUUAACUUUUGGGUUAAAUUGUCCUCAUAAAACACCAACUGUACUUUUGACAAUGUCCUAAGUAGUUUCUAAUGAAGAAAAUAAUUGUACUUUUU
Long non-coding RNA from Pyrus x bretschneideri (Chinese white pear), 1369 nucleotides. RefSeq lists it as uncharacterized. Lineage: Eukaryota; Viridiplantae; Streptophyta; Magnoliopsida; Rosales; Rosaceae. The transcript has 2 exons. The record is from RefSeq and is a predicted model, not a curated record.